GCGCAAGAUGGCGGCAUGACUAGUUGCAUUUGCAUGGCUGCGUAAAAUAAAGUUCGGAAGAGUGAGUUACCAUGGAUUUGUCAGUUCCCGAAGAGAUGGACGUUGAGGUUCAAAAGAUGACGGAGAAAAGACUUAUUGACGACACACACUCCUACACUUGCCGUAGCAAAAAAGGAGGUGAAUGUGACUCUUUCCCAAACAUGCCGUCUAAAACACAGCCGCCGAAGAAGCUCGCAAAAGGAGAUGCAUCAGAGGACUUAACCUUAAGUCAGGUACAGCACAGCAUCAUUCAAAUAAUCAAACAAUCAUCCGAGGAAAUAAAAGACAUGGUGAAAGAAAACUCAACCAGCAUCAACCUCUUGAAAGAAGCACUGGAAGUUGUGCAUUCUGAAAUAUUUGACAUUCGGAAAGAAAACGAAGAUUU
Molecule: long non-coding RNA, 424 nt
Organism: Sinocyclocheilus rhinocerous
Lineage: Eukaryota; Metazoa; Chordata; Actinopteri; Cypriniformes; Cyprinidae
Exons: 2
Source: RefSeq, a predicted model, not a curated record